RNAcentral lists this long non-coding RNA (1048 nucleotides) under Homo sapiens (human). RNAcentral's name for it is "non-protein coding lnc-ZNF835-2:1". Lineage: Eukaryota; Metazoa; Chordata; Mammalia; Primates; Hominidae. The record is from RNAcentral.
GUGAGCGAGGAGUUCUUGCUGAAGGCCUUGCCGCACUCGCCGCACACGUAGGGCUUCUCGCCGGUGUGGUUCCUCUGGUGCAGGGUGAGCGAGGAGCUCUUGUUGAAGGCCUUGCCGCACUCCUUGCAGGCGUACGGCUUCUCCCCGGUGUGCGUGCGCUGGUGCUCGGUCAGGUGCAUGUUCUGGCUGAAGGCUCGCCCGCACUCGGGGCACACGUACGGCUUCUCCCCGGUGUGCGUGCGCUGGUGCACGAUGAGGUGCAUGUUCUGGCUGAAGGCCUUGCCGCAGUCCCCGCACGCGUAGGGCUUCUCCCCCGUGUGGAUCCGCUCGUGCUGGGUGAGAGAGGAAGUCUUCCGGAAGGCCUUGCCACACACGUCGCACACAUACGGCUUCUCGCCCGUGUGCGUGCGCUGGUGCACAGUGAGGUUCAUGCGCUGGCUGAAGGCCUUGCCGCAGUCCCCGCAGGCAUAGGGCUUCUCGCCCGUGUGCACCCGCUGGUGGAUGGUGAGGGACGAGCGCUCGAUGAAGUGCUUCCCACAGGUGUCACACUCAAACGGCUUUUCUCCCGUGUGGAUCCUUUGGUGCUUUAUCAGGGACGAGCUUCGGCUAAAGGCCUUGCCACACUCGCUGCAGUCGUAGGUUUUCUUCUCCUCGCAGGGCAUGGGGGGCUUACUGAGGUCUGAAGUGCUGGAGAAGUUCUUGCCACGCCUUACGGGUGGACAGGCCCCCUUUUCUGUGGGGUCGUCCAGCCGUGGUGGGACCAGGACACAGCCUUGGUUGGCAAAUGCCUUCAGUUCAUGACAUGCGGGUACUGAGCCCCCUAAGAGUUUGUUCCCCUGGGGAAUUCCCAAUGGCUCCCACUCUGCACCUGCAUCUCCCCGCGGCCUCUCUGGCCAGCUGCCUGGUUCCCACACUCCUUCUGAGCCAGGACCCCUGGCACCAUUCCUCGUGGGUCCCCCCGUGGCCUCCCCAACAACGGAGAGCUUGUCUUCCGAAAUGUCAUUCUUUGGAUCCAACUCUUUCAUUUCAGGUCUAGUCUCCCAGUCUG